AUUGAACGCUGGCGGCAGGCUUAACACAUGCAAGUCGAGCGGGGUGAUGGUGCUUGCACUAUCACUUAGCGGCGGACGGGUGAGUAAUGCUUAGGAAUCUGCCUAUUAGUGGGGGACAACAUCUCGAAAGGGAUGCUAAUACCGCAUACGUCCUACGGGAGAAAGCAGGGGAUCACUUGUGACCUUGUGCUAAUAGAUGAGCCUAAGUCGGAUUAGCUAGUUGGUGGGGUAAAGGCCUACAAAGGCGACGAUCUGUAGCGGGUCUGAGAGGAUGAUCCGCCACACUGGGGCUGAGACACGGCCCAGACUCCUACGGGAGGCAGCAGAGGGGAAUAUUGGACAAUGGGGGGAACCCUGAUCCAGCCAUGCCGCGUGUGUGAAGAAGGCCUUAUGGUUGUAAAGCACUUUAAGCGAGGAGGAGGCUUACCUAGUUAAUACCUGGGAUAAGCGGACGUUACUCGCGGAAUAAGCACCGGCUAACUCUGUGCCAGCCGCCGCGGUAA
RNAcentral lists this ribosomal RNA (503 nucleotides) under uncultured bacterium. RNAcentral's name for it is "partial 16S ribosomal RNA". It matches the Rfam family "Bacterial small subunit ribosomal RNA", at positions 30 to 523 of the family's 1533-position model. The record is from RNAcentral.